CUCGACCAUCGAUUGGUUAUGCCUUAAACUGAUGAGUAAGGAAAAUAACGACGCGGGGUGACGCCCGUGUCCUCGCCUAGAUUUGCGAGAUCAAUUUUUGAACGGGUACAGGUCCGCCUGUUUAGGUGACUCACCUACUUUGUGAGAUGCCUUGCGGGACAUGGAUCUGCCCGACCUCUAAUGUAAAAUAUGAACCUCUUUCAGGAUACUGACACAAGGUUACACAGAACCAGAAUGGAAUUAUAUUUUCCAUGAUUGUAACGUACAAUUUCAGAAAAAUAGAAUGUCAGGAAUCUAUAAUAGUACUUACUGCACCUUCUCCAAAACCUUUUUCAACAUAAAGAACAUCUCUGCCUUCUAUUUCUCUAACCACGUUCCAUCAGCAGUUUUUAUGCGGGUAAUGUCAUACUGUAUCAUUAAAAAAAAAUUAAGACAGAGUAGGCACAUUUGCUAUUUAACAAACAGUUUUAGUGACAAAAUUAUUUGUAGUUGAAAAUGCGAUGAAAACACAUUGAACUUUAGAUUUUUAUUUUACAAUUACAUUUAGUCAUUUAGCAGACGCUCUUAUCUAGAGCGACUUACAAAUUGGUGCCUUCACCUUAUGAUAUCCAGUGGAACAACCACUUUACAAUAGUACAUCUAUAUCUUUUUGGGGGGAGGGUUAGAAGGCUUACUUAAUCCUAUCCCAGGUAUUCCUUAAAGAGGUGGGGUUUCAGGUGUCUCCGGAAGGUGGUGAUUGACUCCGCUGUCCUGGCGUCGUGAGGGAGCUUGUUCCACCAUUGGGGUGCCAGAGCAGCGAACAGUUUUGACUGGGCUGAGCGGGAACUGUGCUUCCGCAGAGGUAGGGAGGCGAGCAGGCCAGAGGUGGAUGAACGCAGUGCCCUUCUUUGGGUGUAGGGACUGAUCAGAGCCUGAAGGUACUGACGUGCCGUUCCCCUCACAGCUCCGUAGGCAAGCACCAUGGUCUUGUAGCAGGUUCCCCUCUCUCCACUGGGAUUCUCUGCCUCUAACCCUAUUACCGGGGUUGAGUCACUGGCUUAUUGGUGUUCUUCCAUGCCGUCCCUAGGAGGGGUGCGUCACUUGAGUGGGUUGAGUCACUGACGUGGUCUUCCUGUCUGGGUUGGCGCCCCCCCUUGGGUUGUGCCGUGGCAGAGAUCUUUGUGGGCUAUACUCGGCCUUGUCUCAGGAUGGUAAGUUGGUGGUUGAAGGUAUCCCUCUAGUGGUGUGGGGGCUGUGCUUUGGCAAAGUGGGUGGGGUUAUAUCCUUCCUGUUUGGCCCUGUCCGGGGGUAUCAUCGGAUGGGGCCACAGUGUCUCCUGACCCCUCCUGUCUCAGCCUCCAGUAUUUAUGCUGCAGUAGUUUAUGUGUCGGGGGGCUAGGGUCAGUCUGUUAUAUCUGGAGUAUUUCUCCUGUCUUAUACGGGGUCCUGUGUGAUUUUAAGUAUGCUCUCUCUAAUUCUCUCUUUCUUUCUUUCACUCUCUCUGAGGACCUGAGCCCUAGGACCAUGUCUCGGGACUACCUGGCAUGAUGACUCCUUGCUGUCCCCAGUCCACCUGGACGUGCUGCUGCUCCAGUUUCAACUGUUCUGCCUGCGGCUAUGGAACCCGGACCUGUUCACCGGAAGUGCUACCUGUCCCAGACCUGCUGUUUUCAAAUCUCUAGAGACAGCAGGAGCGGUAGAGAUACUCUCAAUGAUCGGCUAUGAAAAGCCAACUGACUCUUGAGGUGCUGACUUGUUGCACCCUGGACAACUACUGUGAUUAUUAUUAUUUGACCAUGCUGGUCAUUUAUGAACAUUUGAACAUCUUGGCCAUGUUCUGUUAUAAUCUCCAUCCGGCACAGCCAGAAGAGGACUGGCCACCCCUCAUAGCCUGGUUCCUCUCUAGGUUUCUUCCUAGGUUUUGGCCUUUCUAGGGAGUUUUUCCUAGCCACCGUGCUUCUACACCUGCAUUGCUUGCUGUUUGGGGUUUUAGGCUGGGUUUCUGUACAGCACAUUGAGAUAUCAGCUGAUGUAAGAAGGGCUAUAUAAAUACAUUUGAUUUGUUGCCAAUUGGAUGGAAACCUAGAUAAUAACUACGUUUCCAUCCACCGUUUUUAUAUGAGUAAAGUCAUACCCUAUGAAAAAAAUCCGAAAGCUGUGAUGGAAACAGGAAGUUUCGGUACAAUUGUAUAAAUGCAGACAGGUCAUUUGUUCCUUUCUACAUGGUGUGAUCUUUUUUUGUUGGUCAAAUUAAUUAUGGGUACAAUGGCUGUGGAAACGCCUUCAUGCGCAAAUAUUGAUCUAAUAACCAUCAUAUCAAACUAAAUUUGGGAGUCACACAAUGUCAACAUGGUGGGUGCUCCUCCCACUACGACUCGGGAAACCAUGCAGUUUAUUAGGCUACAGAUUAAAUAAUUUAUGAUGAAUUUCACAGGGUGGUGAAAGUGCACGGUGAUGUUGAUGCUUCUUUCCAAUAAGUAUUAAAAUACGUCAUCAUGCCCAAAUUUUUAUCCGCAACAAGUCCGUUUCUUGGAAACACCACGGGUGAGAAAAUGUGCAUAUUUUCUUUAUACGAAUUUUAAAAUAUUCACAUGAAAAUCUGUUGUCGAUGGAAACCUCGUUAUUGACCAUAAAUUGUUUCCGGAAUUUCCACCAAAACCCGAGUGCAUUUAACUUUGUGCCACGAGGUGGCAGUAUUGUAUAUAUAUUUACAAAACAUGGUAGGCCAA
RNAcentral lists this long non-coding RNA (2708 nucleotides) under Salmo salar (Atlantic salmon). RNAcentral describes it as "lncRNA (ENSSSAG00000103463.1)". The stretch from base 19 to 173 matches the Rfam family "U12 minor spliceosomal RNA". Lineage: Eukaryota; Metazoa; Chordata; Actinopteri; Salmoniformes; Salmonidae. The record is from RNAcentral.